UACGUAGGAGGCAAGCGUUGUCCGGAGUUACUGGGCGUAAAGCGCACGUAGGCGGGUCGUUAAGUCGGGGGGGAAAUCCUGGAGCUCAACUCCAGAACUGCCUUCGAUACUGGCGAUCUUGAGUCUGGGAGAGGUGAGUGGAACUCCGAGUGUAGAGGUGAAAUUCGUAGAUAUUCGGAAGAACACCAGUGGCGAAGGCGGCUCACUGGCCCGGUACUGACGCUGAGGUGCGAAAGCGUGGGGAGCAAACAGG
RNAcentral lists this ribosomal RNA (253 nucleotides) under uncultured bacterium. RNAcentral describes it as "partial 16S ribosomal RNA". It matches the Rfam family "Bacterial small subunit ribosomal RNA", at positions 524 to 776 of the family's 1533-position model. The record is from RNAcentral.